This 487-nucleotide ribosomal RNA is filed under the name uncultured bacterium. Its description in RNAcentral is "bacterial SSU rRNA". It matches the Rfam family "Bacterial small subunit ribosomal RNA", at positions 46 to 524 of the family's 1533-position model. The record is from RNAcentral.
GCUUAACCAUGCAAGUCGAACGGUAGCACAAAGGACUUGCUCCUUGGGUGACGAGUGGCGGACGGGUGAGUAAUGCUUGGGAAUCUGGCUUAUGGAGGGGGAUAACUACUGGAAACGGUAGCUAAUACCGCGUAAUAUCGUAAGAUUAAAGGGUGGGACCUUCGGGCCACUUGCCAUAAGAUGAGCCCAAGUGGGAUUAGGUAGUUGGUGGGGUAAAGGCCUACCAAGCCUGCGAUCUCUAGCUGGUCUGAGAGGAUGGCCAGCCACACUGGAACUGAGACACGGUCCAGACUCCUACGGGAGGCAGCAGUGGGGAAUAUUGCACAAUGGGGGGAACCCUGAUGCAGCCAUGCCGCGUGAAUGAAGAAGGCCUUCGGGUUGUAAAGUUCUUUCGGUGAUGAGGAAGGCAGGUAUUUUAAUAGAAUACUUGAUUGACGUUAGUCACAGAAGAAGCACCGGCUAACUCCGUGCCAGCAGCCGCGGUAAU